RNAcentral lists this ribosomal RNA (451 nucleotides) under uncultured bacterium. Its description in RNAcentral is "bacterial SSU rRNA". It matches the Rfam family "Bacterial small subunit ribosomal RNA", at positions 30 to 508 of the family's 1533-position model. The record is from RNAcentral.
CCUGAACGCUGGCGGCGUGGCUAAGACAUGCAAGUCGCACGGGGUAGCAAUACCCAGUGGCGAACGGGUGAGUAAUGAAUCGCUAAUGUGCCCCGGACUCUGGGAUAGCUUUCCGAAAGGAAAGGUAAUACCAGAUGAGACCACGAACAGGCAUCUGUUUGUGCUCAAAGGUCCGCCGGUCUGGGAGCAGGCGAUUUCGUAUCAGCUAGUUGGUGAGGUAACGGCUCACCAAGGCGACGACGCGUAGCCGGACUGAGAGGUUGGCCGGCCACAUUGGGACUGAGACACUGCCCAGACUCCCACGGGGGGCUGCAGUAACGAAUCUUCCGCAAUGUACGAAAGUAUGACGGAGCGACGCCGCGUGUGGGACGAAGCCCUUCGGGGUGCAAACCACUGUCAGGGGUUAGAAAGUUCUGAUCAACCCCAGAGGAAGGGACGGCUAACUCUGUGC